GACGAACGCUGGCGGCGUGCUUAACACAUGCAAGUCGAACGGAAAGGCCCUGCUUUUGUGGGGUGCUCGAGUGGCGAACGGGUGAGUAACACGUGAGUAACCUGCCCUUGACUUUGGGAUAACUUCAGGAAACUGGGGCUAAUACCGGAUAGGAGCUCCUGCUGCAUGGUGGGGGUUGGAAAGUUUCGGCGGUUGGGGAUGGACUCGCGGCUUAUCAGCUUGUUGGUGGGGUAGUGGCUUACCAAGGCUUUGACGGGUAGCCGGCCUGAGAGGGUGACCGGACACAUUGGGACUGAGAUACGGCCCAGACUCCUACGGGAGGCAGCAGUGGGGAAUAUUGUACUAUGGGCGGAAGCCUGAUGCAGCAACGCAGUGUGCGGGAUGACGUCCUUCGGGUUGUAAACCGCUUUCGCCUGUGACGAAGCGUGAGUGACGGUAAUGGGUAAAGAAGCACCGGCUAACUACGUG
RNAcentral lists this ribosomal RNA (468 nucleotides) under uncultured bacterium. Its description in RNAcentral is "partial 16S ribosomal RNA". It matches the Rfam family "Bacterial small subunit ribosomal RNA", at positions 28 to 507 of the family's 1533-position model. The record is from RNAcentral.